UACAGAGGGUGCGAGCGUUAAUCGGAUUUACUGGGCGUAAAGCGUGCGUAGGCGGCUGAUUAAGUCGGAUGUGAAAUCCCUGAGCUUAACUUAGGAAUUGCAUUCGAUACUGGUCAGCCAGAGUAUGGGAGAGGAUGGUAGAAUUCCAGGUGUAGCGGUGAAAUGCGUAGAGAUCUGGAGGAAUACCGAUGGCGAAGGCAGCCAUCUGGCCUAAUACUGACGCUGAGGCACGAAAGCAUGGGGAGCAAACAGG
This 253-nucleotide ribosomal RNA is filed under the name uncultured bacterium. RNAcentral's name for it is "partial 16S ribosomal RNA". It matches the Rfam family "Bacterial small subunit ribosomal RNA", at positions 524 to 776 of the family's 1533-position model. The record is from RNAcentral.